RNAcentral lists this ribosomal RNA (521 nucleotides) under uncultured Glomeraceae. Its description in RNAcentral is "SSU rRNA". It matches the Rfam family "Eukaryotic small subunit ribosomal RNA", at positions 569 to 1092 of the family's 1831-position model. Lineage: Eukaryota; Fungi; Glomeromycota; Glomeromycetes; Glomerales; Glomeraceae. The record is from RNAcentral.
AGCAGCCGCGGUAAUUCCAGCUCCAAUAGCGUAUAUUAAAGUUGCUGCAGUUAAAAAGCUCGUAGUUGAAUUUCGGGACUGAUAUGUCGGUCGUGCCUCGGUACGUACUGGUAUUUUUGGUUUCUCCCUUCUGACGAACCUUGAUGUCAUUAAUUUGGUGUCUUGGGAAAUCAGGACUGUUACUUUGAAAAAAUUAGAGUGUUUAAAGCAGGCUCACGCUUGAAUACAUUAGCAUGGAAUAAUGAAAUAGGACGUUUGAUUCUAUUUUGUUGGUUUUUAGGAUUGACGUAAUGAUUAAUAGGGAUAGUUGGGGGCAUUAGUAUUCAAUUGUCAGAGGUGAAAUUCUUGGAUUUAUUGAAGACUAACUACUGCGAAAGCAUUUGCCAAGGAUGUUUUCAUUAAUCAAGAACGAAAGUUAGGGGAUCGAAGACGAUCAGAUACCGUCGUAGUCUUAACCAUAAACUAUGCCGACUAGGGAUCGGAUGAUGUUAAUUUUUUAAUGACUCAUUCGGCGCCUUACG